CCUACGGGCGGCUGCAGUAAGGAAUAUUGGUCAAUGGACGCAAGUCUGAACCAGCCAUGCCGCGUGGAGGAUGAAGGUCCUCUGGAUUGUAAACUUCUUUUAUUUGGGAAGAAACUCCCGAUUUCCAUCGGGAUUGACGGUACCAGAUGAAUAAGCACCGGCUAACUCCGUGCCAGCAGCCGCGGUAAUACGGAGGGUGCAAGCGUUAUCGGGUUUCACUGGUGUGUAGGGGUGCGUAGAAGGGCAGGUAGAAACCUCCGGGCUUAACCCUGAAACGGCCAUGGAUACUAUUUGUCUUGAAUACUCUGGAGGUGAGCGGAAUAUGUCAUGUAGCGGUGAAAUGCUUAGAUAUGACAUAGAACACCCAUUGCGAAGGCAGCUCACUACGGAAAUAUUGACGCUGAGGCACGAAAGCGUGGGGAUCAAACAGGAUUAGAUACCCCUGUAGUC
Molecule: ribosomal RNA, 450 nt
Filed under: uncultured bacterium
Lineage: Bacteria
Description: partial 16S ribosomal RNA
Rfam family: Bacterial small subunit ribosomal RNA
Source: RNAcentral